UUUUCUUCAAAACACAGUUUUGACCAACGUCUCUCAAGUCUUAACUUCAACUUUGAUUCUGCAAAGGGACUCCUUUGAAUUCUCAAUCCACAGAUAAGAACCUGAAAGUGAGCAGUGUUUCAUUAGGUGCAUCUGAGCAAGAUAUACAGGAGUUUUUCCUUUCUGGGGAAAUUGAACAUGUUGAGAUGCACAGUGGCAAUGAGUGGUCUCAAAUUGCAUAUGUUGUCUUCAAGGAUCCCAAGGGGCAACCAGGAAAUCCUGCACUGGAGACAUCUUUAAGGAAGUGCUGAAUAUCCGCACUACUGUAGUUUGAAGCAAUUGUAAUGUUUUGUUGUUGGAUCU
This is a long non-coding RNA of Pistacia vera, 342 nucleotides long. RefSeq lists it as uncharacterized. The transcript has 5 exons. NCBI's taxonomy places the organism in Eukaryota, Viridiplantae, Streptophyta, Magnoliopsida, Sapindales, Anacardiaceae. The record is from RefSeq and is a predicted model, not a curated record.